AUUGAACGCUGGCGGCAGGCUUAACACAUGCAAGUCGAGCGGGGGAAGGUAGCUUGCUACUGGACCUAGCGGCGGACGGGUGAGUAAUGCAUAGGAAUCUGCCUAUUAGUGGGGGACAACAUCUCGAAAGGGAUGCUAAUACCGCAUACGUCCUACGGGAGAAAGCAGGGGAUCUUCGGACCUUGCGCUAAUAGAUGAGCCGAAGUCGGAUUAGCUAGUGGUGGGGUAAAGGCCUACCAAGGCGACGAUCUGUAGCGGGUCUGAGAGGAUGAUCCGCCACACUGGGACUGAGACACGGCCCAGACUCCUACGGGAGGCAGCAGUGGGGAAUAUUGGACAAUGGGGGGAACCCUGAUCCAGCCAUGCCGCGUGUGUGAAGAAGGCCUUAUGGUAGUAAAGCACUUUAAGCGAGGAGGAGGCUACUCUAGUUAAUACCUAGGGAUAGUGGACGUUACUCGCAGAAUAAGCACCGGCUAACUCUGUGCCAGCCGCCGCGGUAA
RNAcentral lists this ribosomal RNA (500 nucleotides) under uncultured bacterium. RNAcentral describes it as "partial 16S ribosomal RNA". It matches the Rfam family "Bacterial small subunit ribosomal RNA", at positions 30 to 523 of the family's 1533-position model. The record is from RNAcentral.